RNAcentral lists this ribosomal RNA (301 nucleotides) under uncultured bacterium. Its description in RNAcentral is "partial 16S ribosomal RNA". It matches the Rfam family "Bacterial small subunit ribosomal RNA", at positions 509 to 809 of the family's 1533-position model. The record is from RNAcentral.
CAGCCGCCACGGUAAUACAGAGGGUGCGAGCGUUAAUCGGAUUUACUGGGCGUAAAGCGUGCGUAGGCGGCUUCUUAAGUCGGAUGUGAAAUCCCUGAGCUUAACUUAGGAAUUGCAUUCGAUACUGGGAAGCUAGAGUAUGGGAGAGGAUGGUAGAAUUCCAGGUGUAGCGGUGAAAUGCGUAGAGAUCUGGAGGAAUACCGAUGGCGAAGGCAGCCAUCUGGCCUAAUACUGACGCUGAGGUACGAAAGCAUCGGGAGCAAACAGGAUUAGAUACCCCCGUAGUCCCUGUCUCUUAUAU